UUUCCUUGUCAAUAUUUUCAACACGGUGCUUGACGCUCUUGAACUGGCUUCCUUCGCCAAAAGUGAUAACCUUGAUGGUUCCGACUCCACCGUCUCCCUCAAGGAUUUCGACACUUUUGAUGGCUUGAGGCAGGAUCUUGGGGAUGAGGUUGUCAGAGUCGAGGAUAAUGGACUUGAACAACUUUCCGGCCGGGAUUGAUGAAGUGAUCUCCAUAUCAUAAGUGAUGGCACCCAUGAUGAUUUCUCAAGAAUGGAAUAGUAUGAAAAAGGAUUGAUGAAAUUGUGAGAAAUGUGGGAAGUUGGAUUGCUAUUUAUAUUGGUAGAUAGAAAGUUCUCUUUCAUAUGAACUAUUGAGUAUUGACCAAAAUGGGAGGUCUUGAACGUGGUUGGGACACAAUGAAAUGAGAAGAUUAAUAAGGGUGUGGACGUGGCCUGAUUAUUACACAUCUACCAUUCCAUUAUAGACCAGCUUGCAGAGUUAUAUCUUGACAUUUAUAGUCUCUAUACGGUGUUUUUUUUUUUUUUUUUUUUUUUUUUUUUUUUUUUUUGGAAAGAAUGUGGGUCGAAUAAAACUUUAGUCUCACUAUACAAUCUAAAGUAACGAAAAUAAUGUAGAGGUACUAUUGUCCAUAUUCACAUUAAAUCACAUAUUCUACAGAAUCUACAACUUAUAAUCACUUGAAUUAUAAUUUAAACACCAACCAAACAUGCACAGAUGUAUAUAGUGAGUGAACGAUUAUGUCGUAGGGGUUUGAAUUCAAUAUAUAUAAGCCAUAAAUUUUUUCAAAUUAUCAUUGAAAUGAAGCCCAAACAGGGCUAAAUAAAAUUAUCAUUUUUAGUAUAAAUCGUCUGAUUUUCUUUGACAUGUAUGUAAUGGUCCAAUUAUUUUUCGAUCAUUUCAAAAGCCUCCCUCCAACGUAAAGGGGGUAUGGGUUUCAAUUGUAAGUUCAUUCAAGCCCUCAAACUUACUCAAUCUGUCUCUUUGAAUCGUUUCUUGAAAAUUCGCACAUUGAAAACGCUUUCCAGCUUAAAACCAUUCAACUCAAAGCUCUCAAAUUUAAUGAAAGAUGGCUUGGUGUCUGAAGCACAGAAACUGUUCUUUGGAAUGCCCCAAAGAAAUACAGUCACAUAUAAUGCUAUGAUAAGAGGAUAUUUUCAAAAUGGGUUUUUUGAACAAGCUAUGGAUUUGUAUAUUCAAAUGCCGGUUCGGGAUAUUUUCUCGUAUAAUACUAUGAUCUGUGGGUUAAUGCAAUAUGGGGAUGUUAAAGGGGCUGAAGAGAUUUUUGACUGUAUGGGGUGCACAGAUAUUGUCACUUGGAAUUCAAUGAUUUCUGGAUACAUUGAUAAUGAUUUGAUGGAUGAUGCAGUGAGAAUAUUUAAUGCGAUGCCUAUGAAAGAUGUUGUUUCGUGGAAUUUGGUUAUUGCAGGACUGGUGAAAGUUAAGGAGUUUGGUAAGGCUGAGCAAAUGUUUAGGGGGAUGAGCACGCGGGAUGUUGCAUCUGGUACUAUUAUGAUGAAGGGGUUUUUGGGAGAUGGUCGAAUUGAAGAAGCAAGGGAAUGUUUUGAUAAUAUGCCUAUAAAGGAUGUUCAAGCUUGGAAUACAAUGAUCAGUGGUUACGUGCAAACUGGACUUGUUGAGAUUGCGGAAGUCUUGUUUCAUAAGAUGCCUGAAAAAGAUGGGAACUCAUGGAAUGAAAUGAUGGAUGGGUUUGUAAGUGUUGGUAGGAUAAUUGAUGCCAUGAAGCUUUUCGAUGAAAUGCCUCAAAAAUGUGAAAGAUUAUGGAAUUUAAUAUUGUUGGGAUUGGUAAGGAACGGUUUGGUGAAAGAAGCUCAUGCCUUGCUAGAGAAAAACUCAUAUAGUAAUAUAGUGUCAUUGACGAAUGUGAUGAUUGAAUACUUUAAUAAUGGAAACGUUGACAGUGCCUUGAAAAUUUUUGAAUGGAUGCCUGUUCGUGACACAACUGUAUGGAAUGCCACUAUUUGGAUUGGGAGAAAAUGAUCGUAGCGAGGACAGUAUAAAAUUGUUCAUCAAAAUGAAAGAAGAUGGUAUGUUCCAGGAUGAAGCUACAUUUACAAGUUUACUUACCAUAUGUUCAAACCUUUCGUCCUUGAACCUUGGUAAAGAAAUUCAUGCAGAAGUAAUUAAGGUGGGGAUUAAUUGCUUUAUCCCUGUUAGUAAUGCAUUAGUGACCAUGUAUUUUAGAUGUGGAAAAAUGGACUCUGCAGUACUUGAAUUUUAUUCCAUGUCCGGCCAUGAUGUUAUUUCUUGGAAUUCUGUAAUUAGUGGAUUAGCUCACCAUGGGCAUGCUGAACAAGCUAUAGAGAUGUUUGAGAAAAUGAGAUUAUCAAAUGUGAAGCCUAAUCAAAUAACUUUUGUAGGUGUCCUUUCUGCAUGUGGCCAUGCCGGCCUUGUUGAACAUGGUAAAUAUUACUUUAAUAUUAUGCAAAAUGAGUAUUUUCUUCACUCAACAACUGAGCAUUAUACUUGUAUUGUUGAUCUGUUGGGUAGAUUUGGACUUAUAGAUGAGGCAAUGAAUAUUUUGGAUCAGAUGGGUGUAUUAGGACUAGAAGUUCCAGCAAGUGUUUGGGGAGCAUUGUUUGGAGCAUGUAGAAUGCAUGAUAACAUCACUAUAGGUGAGAUUGCUGGGAACAAGAUUCUGGAAUUAGAGCCUUCUAACUCUGGUGUGUAUAUGAUUCUAGCCGAAAUAUACCUGGCUAGUGGGAGGAAAGAUGAGGCAGAAAGGAUAUCGGUUCGCAUGAAAGAGAAUGGUGUUAAAAAGCAGCCUGGCUGUAGUUGGAUUGAGUCAAACGAUGGUGGCCAAGUAUUUCUUGCAGGGGACAAAACACAUCCUGAGUUUAAGUUCAUCUCCCAUGUUAUAGACUUGAUAUAUAUGGAGAUGGAGAUAGAACAUUUGAAAUCAGAUUUUGCUUCAUUCUCUGAAUCUAUAGAAGGCAUGUAGCUAAUAUUGAAGCAGCUGUUGCUUGAACAUUUGUCUGUGGAAAAUGAUCUAUUUUUUGGAAUAUUGAAGAAUGUGUAUUGAUGAGUAUCAGAAUCUCUAAAGAGAAGUCAUGGUCCAGCCAUCACGAGGAAGUGGAAGUGUAAUACAAAAGAAAACUAUUGAUUGCAGAAGGCAAUUGACCCCUCUUGGCCUAAUAUAAAUUGUGUGGCUAACAAAGGUAGUGGAAUGACAAUCUCAUGAUCAUAUUGUGGCUGACUACUAAAUUCAAAUAACAAUUUAAUCUCUUAGAUGGCCUAUUGUGUCCAGCCCCAUACAAGAUUCAGCAAAGGGACUGCUGAUCGCACAGGUAAGAUAUGUGUGUAUAAGUCAGAUGCUAUAACGGAUGAAUGAGUUUUCCAAACUGACUUCAUUUAUGAGGACAGGGAUGAAAAAUGAAGCCUCCUUUAUGGAUCUCUCCACCAUUAUGUCCCUGGAAAAUAACUUGAUUAACAUAAUGCUGGAACCUUGUAUGGCGAUGGUGAUUGCAUCAUUAGGCUGGAUCAUUCUUACGAGAACUGCGUAGAUGCUAGGCGGAAACAGACUUGAUGUUGGCCGUUCAUUCAAUUAUUCGGGGUGAAGGACCAUGGGGCGUUUAUCGAUGAACAGCGGAUUGACUGAGCUUUUGGCAUUGCUUUGUUUUUCUCUCCUUUCCUAUCAGCAAGUGCAGUCUUGAUUGAUAAUGGGAGUGGUUUGAAUGUUUGCACGUUGAGCAGUAUAUAGGAUAUUUUAAGACGCAUCAGAUACCACCUCUCUUUUGAUUGAUAUUCAGUAUCCCACAUCAACUGAGAAGGGAACCAGGUUGCUGGCUUACUUGCGUCUGAGGGUUUGCACCGUCGCUGUUAUCAGAAUAUGUUCCUCUCUUACUUCCUCACUGGAUACUUGCUCUUCUUUUGAUAUACAGACAUGGUCUUCCUAACUUUAGGGUCAUUAGAGACUUUUACGUGCUUCAUCUUUGUGUGGGAAGUAAAACUCUCCCAUUUAUUUCACCUCUUCAUAUGUCGCACUCUUUUAUGUUCGGAGGUCAGGUAUAUGUCCUUCGAUAUAUUAAAUAGUUGGGAAAUCCUAACCUCCAUUCUUGGUGGAACCUAAAAACUAAGUAAGGUUGUGUUGAUGCUUUGCUUUAUAAAAAUAAAGGGAUGCUAUUCAUGUGAUUAAUUUAGCAAUUUAAAUAAACACUUUCCCAGCUAUUAAAGCUGUAAAUUUGCAAAAAGAUUGAGUUCAGCUUGUUUUUCCGAUUUCACAAGUAAUUGUUUCGUAUUUUUCUCGCUGCUAUUCAUCGUGUUCCUAGUGGCUUUUGAUUUUAUGCAACAGUUUCAUUUUAUAUUUGUAAGCAGAGAAUUUGUGUACCAUUAAAACUUACCAAUCUAUUUUUUAAUAAAAAAAAAAUUCUACUCGUAUUUUCAUAGAAUUAUCUUUUUUCUUUAUUAUGGGGUAUGCUUGUGAUGUAUGAACUUGUUCAGUUUUGUUAAUCUCUGUUUCGAUACAUCAGAUAGAUAAAACCAAAUAUUGUGGCGUUAAGUGAUGAAAGUUCUUGGUCUUCUCCUCCCCAGAUUUUAAGGAUGAAUAAAGACUCAUUCGGUUUGGAUUGUUUGCAGUGAUGAUUUUACACUCGGGCAGAUUAAACAUUAUGGAUCCAUAAGAUGAAGCAAACCAUCACACAGUUAAAAUGAAGUAAAUCCUCUUCCAUUAAUUAUUUAAAUACGAAUUCAACCAAGAGUACUUUGAAGCUUUUCAGUACAACACUGAUCUUAUUCUGCAGAAAAUGCAAAUGCAGCAUUUCUAGGAAACAUAAAUCACUCAAUUGUAUAAUAUUUUAGGCAGUGUAAAUUUAAGCAACAUGUUUAAUUGUAGGCAUCGGGAUUUGCUUGGAGAUAAGCUUCUACAGUCUUGAAAAUUCCCAUGGCCUUCUCUUUACCUUCCUUGAUCUUCUCCUCGGAAAUCUGGGCAUCACCCUUGGUGUUGUAAAUGCUCCUGUUCUUGCAGAUAGAUCCUCCAUCAGCAGCCGGAACAAUUUUGACAUGGUAAUUGAUCGACUCCAGAACGUCCAUCAGAGCAUCCCCUUCAAUGAUGCUGUAGCUAUAUGUCAAAUUUUCUUUGUCAAUAUUUUCAACACGGUGCUUGACACUCUUGAACUGGCUUCCUUCGCCAAAAGUGAUAACCUUGAUGGUUCCGACUUCACCGUCUCCCUCAAGGAUUUCGACACUUUUGAUGGCUUGAGGCAGGAUCUUGGGGAUGAGGUUGUCAGAGUCGAGGAUAAUGGACUUGAACAACUUUCCGGCCGGGAUUGAUGAAGUGAUCUCCAUAUCAUAAGUGAUGGCACCCAUGAUGAUUUCUCAAGAAUGGAAUAGUAUGAAAAAGGAUUGAUGAAAUUGUGAGAAAUGUG
RNAcentral lists this long non-coding RNA (5382 nucleotides) under Olea europaea (common olive). RNAcentral describes it as "long non-coding RNA (OEUR_LNC008250)". The record is from RNAcentral. Lineage: Eukaryota; Viridiplantae; Streptophyta; Magnoliopsida; Lamiales; Oleaceae.